Molecule: non-coding RNA, 47 nt
Filed under: Xenorhabdus nematophila
Lineage: Bacteria; Pseudomonadati; Pseudomonadota; Gammaproteobacteria; Enterobacterales; Morganellaceae
Description: Guanidine-II sequence
Rfam family: Guanidine-II riboswitch aptamer (mini-ykkC)
About the family: Simpler in structure and has fewer highly conserved nucleotide positions than the ykkC-yxkD leader. Despite this each of its two stem-loop structures directly bind free guanidine.
Source: RNAcentral
UAUUCGGGACGACCCGGAUAAACGCCAUCUCAUCGGGGACGUCCCCA